RNAcentral lists this ribosomal RNA (433 nucleotides) under uncultured bacterium. RNAcentral describes it as "partial 16S ribosomal RNA". It matches the Rfam family "Bacterial small subunit ribosomal RNA", at positions 29 to 507 of the family's 1533-position model. The record is from RNAcentral.
AACGAACGCUGGCGGCAUGCCUAACACAUGCAAGUCGAACGAGACCUUCGGGUCUAGUGGCGCACGGGUGCGUAACGCGUGGGAACCUGCCCUUAGGUUCGGAAUAACUCCCCGAAAGGGGUGCUAAUACCGGAUAAUGUCUUCGGACCAAAGAUUUAUCGCCUUUGGAUGGGCCCGCGUUGGAUUAGCUAGUUGGUAGGGUAAAAGCCUACCAAGGCGACGAUCCAUAGCUGGUCUGAGAGGAUGAUCAGCCACACUGGGACUGAGACACGGCCCAGACUCCUACGGGAGGCAGCAGUGGGGAAUAUUGGACAAUGGGCGAAAGCCUGAUCCAGCAAUGCCGCGUGAGUGAUGAAGGCCUUAGGGUUGUAAAGCUCUUUUACCCGGGAUGUUAAUGACAGCACCGGGAGAAUAAGCUCCGGCUAACUCCGUG